CACUGCCCCGGCGGAGGGGUGGCCCGGGCAGAGCGUGCCCUUCCCGCCCCGGCGCGGCGCCCAGGCCGGGGCCAGGCGAGGGCGAAAGGGCCUCGAGCGGCUCCCCUGGUAGGGGAGCUCGCUGGGUUCGUGGGCGCCGCUGUGCUUUUGCAAACCAGACACCAGACGGAGCAGAGCGUCCCCCGCGGCACGGAUGGUGCCUUCCCGACAGAUGCAAGCUGAUACUCCGCUGGGCUUUGCGAAGGCAGCAAGGAUGCUCCAAGAGGAAUAAGGCGGGUGGAGGAAGGAGGUCCCCUGUUACACUGGGGCCACAGCAGAGAUGCCACAAUUGCACGAUAGGCUGAUCACAAGUGAACAAACCAGGUGCCUGCUAAAGGCAAGCGUCACAGGACAGAGGGUUAGGAGAGCGUGAUCCUGUCAGGGGGACUGCAGCAUGAGUUCACAUCUACACUGCCCCCCCAUCUGAGCGGGAUCCCAGGCGCUUCACUAUCUGUACAGACCACCGAGAUCUCUUUGCCCACCCACCAUUGAAAGGAAGCCAUCCUUGGGCUGGGAAUAGCAAUGUUUGACAAACCCAGCAAUGCUACCCUACAGAAGCAGAAUACUUCAGCUGGUUCAAAUGGCAGGGGGGAUUUGAUGGAACCAGAGUGGAAGUACCCAGAGGCAGAACUUGACCAAGACAAAGAGACCCGGCUUUUGUAACAAGUUUCAUGGGAUUUUCAGUGGCAUCUGAGUGACAGCCCCUGUAACACUGCAAUGGGAAGAGUGCCACCUACUGACUCACCAAUACAUCCAAGUGCUGACCUGAACCAACUCUUCUUAGCUUGCAAGAUCACACAGGGCGAGGUUGGCAGAGUUUCAGGAUAAAAUCAAUGCACGCCUCAAAAAUGGGAGGACUUGUGAGGUUCGGCAUUUAAGUGGCAAGCCAAUUAGAGGGUAUUUUGGGGACCCUCCAUGUAGUGUGAUUUACAUCAGUUGUUUCACCCUCUGUGUUCCCGAUUGUCAGUGGUACGCUGCUCCCUAGUGGGGAAUUGAUUCCGAGAGCUGCAGCGUGGCAGGUAAUGGGCAGUCGGGCAUGCAGAGCUGAGGUGACAAUACUAAUCAUGAUUAAUAACUGCACUUGGGAAGCACCGCGCACACACGGCACAGGCACCGCACAGUUAAACCACAACAACAAACAAGCAACAGCAACAAUUAAAACGGCAUAAAAAGGGCCGUAUAAAAAUCAAAAAACUGAUAAAAGGAAAUGGUGUAAGGCACACUAUUGAUCGUGGUGCGUUUAAAGAUCUAUGUGUCAGUGCUUGUGGAGAGAGAGCUGGGACACAGUGGUGAUUUGCCACGUGUUAACCCCGAGUUACCCACUUGGUGUGAACAUUUCAUUGGCAGGUGGGCAUGGCCAGGACUAGGCAGAGGUACUCGGCACAGCUCCGACCUGAGGCAGGCAGGAGAGCAAAAGGCGCCCUGAGAUGAUGUGCGGGUGAUUACAGAGGAAGGGUCUGUGAACCUGCUCCAGGGGCCUUUGCAAUCACUGAUGUCGGGGGUAUCAAGGGCACUCAGCACUGUCCCAUCUCACAGGAUCAGCCCCCAAAGCAGGCUCAGGAGUCCUGGGCAUGGGUGAUGUCAGGGCUGGAUUUUCUGAGUCAGCUACAGCUUCCCCUUUUCACUGCUUCACAUUCAGAAAGCUCCUUGGACCCGGCUGGGACCAUGCAUCUUACCAUUGCCCAGCCCCCAUCUGUCCCUCUGAUACUGUGGGCUUCCCUGCCCAGAGUUCUUAGUCACGCCCGUGGCAGCAUUAGCUGGACACUGUCCAGGACAACUAACAACCGUGGAGCACUGCUCUCCCUGGUCAGGUGCAAUGGAUCUAAACGAGCACUUACCAGGGUCUGGAGAGCAUCCCAUUGCAGGGAGGCAGAGCUGUGUUGUGCUGGUCCCUGGGUUCUUUCUUCGCCACAGUGAAUUGCUAGAUGAUUUGAGCUAGAAAACGCAGACACUUCUCUCCUUCCAGAGCAUCUCCGCAGCAUUUCAGCUUCUCGGCCUCUCCUGAGUGCAGGCCAGGGACGCAAGGUGCAAAUGCGUCUGGAUGUCCCAUUUGCCCCUCCAGGCUGCUGGGCUACCUAGAGACUGGUUUGACUCUGAGUGGAAGCUGAUGCAGCCCCAGAGGUGGUUCUAAUUUAUGUCCAGUCAGCAACCCCAUGCACUCCCUCUCAUAACAUGCCCCCGCCUGCCCCUAUGCCAGCAGCUCCGAGGGGCUGGUACAGGCUGCCCUGGGGAGUGAGGAGAUCCAGUCCUUUUAUGCUACAGGACUGACAUAAAGGGCCACAGUGCAGCCCAGUAUUGAGGCUCUUGGGUUUGGUCUGUUCCUCUUAAGUCUCUUUCGCCCCAAGCUUUAACUCUCUUGCUCUCUGGUCCUCUUCCCCUUACUCUGUGCCUCCCAGCUGUCUCUGAUUCUGAGCUGUUGUCUGCCCACUGGCUGUGGGAGGAGCACAAAGACAGGUAGGGUAUGUCUACACUGCAAUUAUAUACCCCCGUGCCAGCUGACUCGGGCUCAGGGGCAGUUUAACUGCGGUGUAAAUGUUCAAGCUGGGGUUGGAGCCUGGGAUGGUCAGCAAGGCCUCCAUCUCUGUGGCACGGCUGCCAGCAAUGCCUGGGAGGGUCAAGAAGGGUCACACGCCCCUCCCCAGAUGCCUGGGGGGGGGCCACAUUCAGCAGGGAACUGCAGCGGCGAAAGGAGCAGAAAGUGGGGUCACUCCUUUGGCACGGCUGUACUGUCCGCAGCCCUGCCCCCCAGGCCUUCUAUGCAGCUGCGUCUCAUGGGGUCUGUACAGCCCCGCCGCAAGACAGGGCUGGGGGCAAUACCGGUACAGCCAUGCUGGAGGAGCUCCUGGCGUGGAGCUGUCCUCCUUUCGCCUGAAAUCGGUAUCCAGCGCAGCGGGAGGACAGAGCCUCCUCUCCCCUGGUAACGUGGGACAGGGAGAGUGUGGGGGCCUGGGCUUAGGGUGACCAGACAGCAAGUGUGAAAAAUCGGGACGGGGGGUGGGGGUAAUAGGAGCCUAUAUAAGAAAAAGACCCAAAAAUGGGGACUGUCCCUAUAAAAUCGGGACAUCUGGUCACCCUACCCGGGCUGGGGGCGGAGCGGGGAGGAGUCACAUGAGGAGGUCACGUGUCCCCCUUUAGCUGGUGCCCCCCUUUGUGUCCCUCCAAUGAGUCACCCAUUUGGACCUGACAUUAAUGCAGAGUGUGACCAAUAUACCUGGAAUUCAAGGGAGGAGAACACCCCAGCCUAAGCCACUUUCUCAGCUGAUCCAGCUAACGAGUAAUUAGGCUUCACCUCAACAAUUGUUGGGUCUUUCUAGGAACUUCGGCGCUUUUCCUAGCAGCUUCUCUCUUGAUUUCGGAGGUGGAAAAUCAGGAGCUGGCCAAAGUCAAGUGUCUGAGUAGAUUCUUAGCUUUUUCUGUAACAAAAGCCUUGCCUAGUUUAUUUGUCUUACUGCUCAUCUAUCUGCAUUGGGAGCUAGAGUGGGGCUGAGACCCCAGUGGCCUGGCGAAAGCUAUGCUUGCAUGGAGGAAAGAUACCCCUGCAGGGAAAGCAAAGGCUGAGAGGCAGAAGCAAAGGUUCUAGUCCUGGUUUGGCCGGAACCUUACGAGGCUGAUAUUGAGCUAGUGGCUUAAGCUUAAGCCAACAUGUCAGGCUCAGUCCAGGUGGGCCCUGGCUUUUCAGAAGUGCUGAGGCCCAGAUCCACAAAGGUAUUUAGGUUCCUAUCUGCCAUUGCAAUCCAAAGGCGUUAGCUGCCUCAAUACCUGAGAUCCAUGCCUGAGCACCCACAGCUCCCAUUGAAAUCUGUGGUGAUGAGCACCAUAGAAAUGCCUAUCAGUAAAGUGUCACCUGGCUACAGCAUUCUCCUCCACUCCUGGCCCCUGAGGAUGGCUUCUGCCUGCCACGCCCGGGAAGGCUGCAUUUCAGGGCGGAUGAACUGAUCCCGGAGGACCUCAUCUGUCAUUAUGUUGUCAUGUGCUGCGGGCUUUGGCUGAAGGAUGUUGGACAAGUGUCAGUCGUCGUGGUUAUUACUGUUAUUACUCAUUUGGGUGAAGUGGCCCUGUGCAGUCUCAGGCUCUUGGCAUCCUGUAAUCAACAGCAUCUGCUUGGAGCUCACAGCCAGAGCCUCAGCCUGUUGGAUGCUUUCCUUCCUUGAUUUCAGUUCUAGCUCCAGACAGGCACCUGCGAGGCAAUCAGUACACAAACCCAGCAUCACAUGGAGCCAGCCCCGCUCCUUCAUCCCCAACCCCCCAUCAAUGCAGAGAAAGGAACAAAAAACAAAGGGGCAGCACAGAGAAAAACAGAAAAAAUAGGGGGAAAAUUGAGAGGCCAAAUCCAGCUUUGAUCUACACCCAGUAAAAUCACACUGACAAUAAUAGUGUAGCACUAUUGAGAGCUACCAGCUGACACUAUUGCAGAUAGCGUUACACGUUGGGUGUGAGAAGUUAGUUCAAGGAGAAAUGCUUAUUGUCAACUGUGGUGCAGUUCUCUUUAGAUACUGAUCAUGUUGCCAGUAAAGUUAGUUCUGCCAUGGUCUCUCUCUCUGAGUGAAUCACUUCUUAGGGGCACAGGCUAUAAGCUAUAUCCAGGCAA
Chrysemys picta bellii (western painted turtle) is the source of this 4627-nucleotide long non-coding RNA. RefSeq lists it as uncharacterized. The record is from RefSeq and is a predicted model, not a curated record. Lineage: Eukaryota; Metazoa; Chordata; Testudines; Emydidae.